CCUACGGGCGGCAGCAGUGAGGAAUAUUGGUCAAUGGACGAGAGUCUGAACCAGCCAAGUAGCGUGAAGGAUGACUGCCCUAUGGGUUGUAAACUUCUUUUAUAUGGGAAUAAAAUGUUCCACGUGUGGGAUUUUGUAUGUACCAUAUGAAUAAGGAUCGGCUAACUCCGUGCCAGCAGCCGCGGUAAUACGGAGGAUCCGAGCGUUAUCCGGAUUUAUUGGGUUUAAAGGGAGCGUAGGUGGAUUGUUAAGUCAGUUGUGAAAGUUUGCGGCUCAACCGUAAAAUUGCAGUUGAAACUGGCAGUCUUGAGUACAGUAGAGGUGGGCGGAAUGCGUGGUGUAGCGGUGAAAUGCUUAGAUAGCACGAAGAACUCCGAUUGCGAAGGCAGUUCACUGGACUGCAACUGACACUGAGGCUCGAAAGUGUGGGUAUCAAACAGGAUUAGAGACCCCUGUAGUC
RNAcentral lists this ribosomal RNA (460 nucleotides) under uncultured bacterium. RNAcentral's name for it is "partial 16S ribosomal RNA". It matches the Rfam family "Bacterial small subunit ribosomal RNA", at positions 338 to 795 of the family's 1533-position model. The record is from RNAcentral.